CCGCCCUUAGCUCAAUGGUUAGAGCACGGAGCUUAUACCUCCGUGGUUCCUGGUUCGAGUCCAGGAGGGCGGA
Molecule: transfer RNA, 73 nt
Filed under: Parcubacteria group bacterium RIFCSPHIGHO2_01_FULL_56_18
Lineage: Bacteria
Description: tRNA-Ile
Rfam family: tRNA
About the family: Transfer RNA (tRNA) molecules are approximately 80 nucleotides in length. Their secondary structure includes four short double-helical elements and three loops (D, anti-codon, and T loops).
Source: RNAcentral